RNAcentral lists this microRNA precursor (117 nucleotides) under Marmota monax (woodchuck). The record is from RNAcentral. Lineage: Eukaryota; Metazoa; Chordata; Mammalia; Rodentia; Sciuridae.
CGGGAUGGUCAGCUGUCCCAGUUUGUCCAAGCUGAGAAGUUUCUGGGGACCUGAGACUUUCAGUGCUAACCAGCAGGGUCCUGGGCCAGCCAGGACAGUUGGUCACCCUGGUGCUGA